RNAcentral lists this non-coding RNA (30 nucleotides) under Mus musculus (house mouse). The record is from RNAcentral. Lineage: Eukaryota; Metazoa; Chordata; Mammalia; Rodentia; Muridae.
UUCUGGAGAAACCAAAACUGACUUUUGCUA